RNAcentral lists this long non-coding RNA (1095 nucleotides) under Volvox carteri. RNAcentral's name for it is "long non-coding RNA (VCAR_LNC004187)". Lineage: Eukaryota; Viridiplantae; Chlorophyta; Chlorophyceae; Chlamydomonadales; Volvocaceae. The record is from RNAcentral.
AGUCCCCUUUAGUUCCCCUUUAGGGGAUGAACAACUUGUUUUUUAUUUUUUGUCAGUCCCCUUUAGGGGACUGACACCCUUUGGUCCCCCUUCUUCCCCUCUGGUUCCCCUUUAGGGGAUGACCUCAUCCCCUUUAGUUCCCCUAAAGGGGAACUAAAGGGGAUGAGCCAAAGGUUCCCCUUUGGGCUCUUUGGUGUUUUCGUUCAUCCCCUUUAGUUCCCCUUUAGGGGAUGAACUAAAGGGGAUGGAAAACCAAAGUCCCUAAAGGGAAUGAUGACAACCUUUUUGUUCCCCCAUCCCCUUUGUUCAUCCCCUUUAGUUCCCCUUUAGGGGAUGAACUAAAGGGGAAGACUUCCCCCUUCGGGGAGCCCAAAAGGGUUCCCUUUGUUCAUCCCCUUUAGUUCCCCUUUAGGGGAUGAACUAAAGGGGAAGACUUCCCCCUUCGGGGAGCCCAAAGGGGUUCCCUUUGGGGACGAUGACAAGGGGACGAAGGGGUUCUUCCCCUAAAGGGGAACUUUAGUUCAUCCCCUAAAGGGGAACUAAAGGGGAUGAAGAAGGGGUUCCCCUUCGGGGAAGAAGGGGGUUCCCCUAAAGGGGAAGAGCUACACAGCAUCAAAUAACCUAAUAUAUAUAUAUAUCAUUUGGUUGCUCUUUUUUACACAAUAAAAAAUUUAAAAACUACUUUUUAUUUUCUUAUGAAUAGCAAAACGUCUGUUCUUAAAUUCAAAAUACUGCUUAGAUCAAUCCAACUAACAGUGUUUGGGUACAUUGUAAAAAGGCGUUGUAAAUAUAUAAUUUAUGCACUCCAUUGUCGACACGUUGACGCUUGUAAGGGAGGGGGGUUCGUUUAACUACUUUAAACUACUAAGUAAUCACUAAACUACAACGAACAUAUGUGAAUUUCGUUAGAGCAAUGUUAUAACUUUAACUAGAUUUUGUAAACUACCCUUGGCCCGAACUUAUCUUGUGAGAGCCUCUAGCCCGAACGAAGACCGAUGUUGGUGGUCAUAUAAUCUAGGCCUUGGACCAGCCCAACGAAGUUAAACAACAACUGCCUCACAGCGUUAGCGUUGUGAGUAGUGCUCAAGGUACUCG